This 21-nucleotide unclassified non-coding RNA is filed under the name synthetic construct. The record is from RNAcentral.
AUCAUCAGGAAUAAAGGGUUU